AUUGAACGCUGGCGGCAGGCUUAACACAUGCAAGUCGAGCGGGGGAAGGUAGCUUGCUACUGGACCUAGCGGCGGACGGGUGAGUAAUGCUUAGGAAUCUGCCUAUUAGUGGGGGACAACAUCUCGAAAGGGAUGCUAAUACCGCAUACGUCGUACGGGAGAAAGCAGGGGGAUCACUUGUGACCUUUCGCUAACAGAUGAGCCUAAGUCGGAUUAGCUAGUUGGUGGGGUAAAGGCCAACCAAGGCGAAGAUCUGUAGCGGGUCUGAGAGGAUGAUCCGCCACACUGGGACUGAGACACGGCCCAGACUCCUACGGGAGGCAGCAGUGGGGAAUAUUGGACAAUGGGGGGAACCCUGAUCCAGCCAUGCCGCGUGUGUGAAGAAGGCCUUUUGGUUGUAAAGCACUUUAAGCGAGGAGGAGGCUUACCUGGUUAAUACCUGGGAUAAGUGGACGUUACUCGCAGAAUAAGCACCGGCUAACUCUGUGCCAGCAGCCGCGGUAA
RNAcentral lists this ribosomal RNA (504 nucleotides) under uncultured bacterium. RNAcentral's name for it is "partial 16S ribosomal RNA". It matches the Rfam family "Bacterial small subunit ribosomal RNA", at positions 30 to 523 of the family's 1533-position model. The record is from RNAcentral.